GAGCGAUCGCAGCAAUGCGGGAGCGGCAGACGGGUGAGGAACACGUGGGAACAUACCCUUUGGUUCGGAAUAACUCAGGGAAACUUGAGCUAAUACCGGAUAAGUCGGCAACGAGAAAGAUUCAUCGCCGAAGGAUUGGCCCGCGUCCGAUUAGCUAGUUGGUGAGGUAAUGGCCCACCAAGGCGACGAUCGGUAGCUGGUCUGAGAGGAUGAUCAGCCACAUUGGGACUGAGACACGGCCCAAACUCCUACGGGAGGCAGCAGUGGGGAAUAUUGGACAAUGGGCGCAAGCCUGAUCCAGCCAUGCCGCGUGAGUGAUGACGGCCCUAGGGUUGUAAAGCUCUUUCACCCACGACGAUAAUGACGGUAGUGGGAGAAGAAGCCCCGGCUAACUUCGUG
RNAcentral lists this ribosomal RNA (399 nucleotides) under uncultured bacterium. RNAcentral describes it as "bacterial SSU rRNA". It matches the Rfam family "Bacterial small subunit ribosomal RNA", at positions 64 to 507 of the family's 1533-position model. The record is from RNAcentral.